GACGAACGCUGGCGGCGUGCUUAACACAUGCAAGUCGAACGGUGAAGCGCCUUCCUUUUUGGUGGGUGUGGAUGAGUGGCGAACGGGUGCGUAACACGUGAGUAACCUGCCCCCUUCUACUGGAUAACCGCAUGAAAGUGUGGCUAAUACGGGAUAUGCUGGGUCUGUCGCAUGAUGGGUCUGGGAAAGAUAUUGUUUCGGUGGGGGAUGGGCUCGCGGCGUAUUAGCUUGUUGGUGGGGUGGUGGCCUACCAAGGCGGCGAUGAGUAGCCGGCCUGAGAGGAGGGUGGGCGACCAUACAGGGGCGGCGCGGCGGAGCCGACUACGACAGGCGGCAGUGGUGGGGAAUAGUGAACGAGGGGCGCAAGGCUGAUGCCGCGACGCGGCGUGAGGGAUGGAGGCCGGCGGGUUGUGAACCUCUUGCGCGAGUGAAGCACGCUAGCCUCGUUUGUUGGUGGGUUGACGGUAGCUGGAUAAGAAGCGCCGGCUAACUACGUG
This 497-nucleotide ribosomal RNA is filed under the name uncultured bacterium. Its description in RNAcentral is "partial 16S ribosomal RNA". It matches the Rfam family "Bacterial small subunit ribosomal RNA", at positions 28 to 507 of the family's 1533-position model. The record is from RNAcentral.